AGGAUGAACGCUAGCGGCAGGCCUAAUACAUGCAAGUCGAACGAGAUCAGAGACUUCGGUUUCUGGUUUAGUGGCGCACGGGUGCGUAACGCGUAUGCAACCUACCUUUUCCUGGGGGAUAGCCCGUCGAAAGACGGAUUAAUACCGCAUAACAUAACUGACCUGGCAUCGGGUUGUUAUCAAAGCUUUCGAGCGGGAGAAGAUGGGCAUGCGUGCCAUUAGCUAGUUGGCGGGGUAAAGGCCCACCAAGGCGACGAUGGCUAGGGGUUCUGAGAGGAUCGGUCCCCCACACUGGUACUGAGACACGGACCAGACUCCGUACGGGAGGCAGCAGGUAGGAAUAGUGGGCAAGUGGGACGAGAGCCUGACCCAGCCAUCGCCGCGUGCGAGGAAGAACGGCCUUCGUGUGUUAGUAAACUGUACCUUUAACCGAGGGAAACGAAACG
Molecule: ribosomal RNA, 446 nt
Filed under: uncultured soil bacterium
Lineage: Bacteria
Description: bacterial SSU rRNA
Rfam family: Bacterial small subunit ribosomal RNA
Source: RNAcentral